GAUAACCCAUCAUGUUUUUGUGCUUUGUUACCAUUCAUUGAAAGACUACGGCGUUCCUUCCCUCCUGGCUUAGACGAGGCCUUAGCAUUACCAUACCAGAUCAUUCCUGAUAAUCAUACCUACAAUUACUUGAAGAUUAAGACCCUCCUUCCCGAAGAAAAUAAAUCCUAAGGUCAGGACAAGAAUUGUCUUCAUAUGACCAAGCACUUGGAAUGACACAGCA
RNAcentral lists this unclassified non-coding RNA (223 nucleotides) under Hevea brasiliensis (rubber tree). The record is from RNAcentral. Lineage: Eukaryota; Viridiplantae; Streptophyta; Magnoliopsida; Malpighiales; Euphorbiaceae.